UACAGAGGGUGCAAGCGUUAAUCGGAAUUACUGGGCGUAAAGCGCGCGUAGGCGGCUGUCUAAGUCGGAUGUGAAAUCCCCGGGCUCAACCUGGGAACUGCAUUCAAAACUGACGAGCUAGAGUAUGGUAGAGGGUGGUGGAAUUUCCUGUGUAGCGGUGAAAUGCGUAGAUAUAGGAAGGAACACCAGUGGCGAAGGCGACCACCUGGACUGAUACUGACACUGAGGUGCGAAAGCGUGGGGAGCAAACAGG
This 253-nucleotide ribosomal RNA is filed under the name uncultured bacterium. RNAcentral describes it as "partial 16S ribosomal RNA". It matches the Rfam family "Bacterial small subunit ribosomal RNA", at positions 524 to 776 of the family's 1533-position model. The record is from RNAcentral.